Molecule: non-coding RNA, 75 nt
Organism: Podarcis lilfordi (Lilford's wall lizard)
Lineage: Eukaryota; Metazoa; Chordata; Lepidosauria; Squamata; Lacertidae
Source: the annotation of a GenBank genome assembly
GGAGCAGACGUAGCUCAGUGGUACAGCAUCUGCCCUGAAGGCAGAAGAUCCCAGGUCUAAUCCCUGGGGUCUCCA